This 240-nucleotide unclassified non-coding RNA is filed under the name soil metagenome. Its description in RNAcentral is "partial contains 5.8S ribosomal RNA, internal transcribed spacer 2, and large subunit ribosomal RNA". The record is from RNAcentral.
AACACUGUUAACCUGCGGUACCUGCGGAAGGAUCAUUAUAGUAUAUGGAAUCUCCAUUCUAUAAGCCCACUCUGCGUAUCUUGUAACUGUUGCUUCCAUGGGACUUGGUUCCGCCACACCGGCUUCACGGCUGGUGAGCGCCCAUGGAAGGAGAAACAAAACUCUUCUUUGAAAUGUAGUCAGUCUGAACAAGUUUUUAUAAACGUUAAAACUUUUAACAACGGAUCUCAGAUCGGAAGA